This is a long non-coding RNA of Saimiri boliviensis boliviensis (Bolivian squirrel monkey), 472 nucleotides long. RefSeq lists it as uncharacterized. NCBI's taxonomy places the organism in Eukaryota, Metazoa, Chordata, Mammalia, Primates, Cebidae. The record is from RefSeq and is a predicted model, not a curated record.
UCUUAGAAACCCAAGCACAGAGUUCAGAGAAAUAUGAGCACAUGUGCAAAGGGAAGAUGAGUACAAAAAAAUGAGUGGGGUUCCUCUUCGCCAUCCCUAAAACCGUGGCAGUAUUUAGCAGCAACCCUGAUGAGGCUGGUCUCAGAACCGUGCAAACAUCUGCCCUGCCUGGCCUCUCAGUGAGAAAGCUUCUACCUCUUAACAGGUAUUUCCACAAACUUGCUGUCCACCUCCCUGUUACAGCAUAAGCUGUACUUCUUUGUCCUUUUCUGGAAAUCAUGAAUGUGCAUGUCAUAUGCAGCAUGUGUUUGUGUAGUGGCUGGAAGCUCUCCGUGGACCAGGCUCUCUCCAAGGUAAUGGCGAGUCAUGGAAAUCUUUGAAGCAGAGGAGUGUCCUAUUCAGAACUGUUGUAUUAAAUGAUGAUUGUGCAGCAGGGUAGAAGCUGAAUUAGCAGGAGAAACACUGGAGACAA